GGCAGCGGAGCUCAAAGGAUAGAGCGCUUCGUAUUCUACAUAUCAACACCUGGCAGUGACAUGAUAUGGGCGAAGAGGUGUGGGUUCAAGUCCCACCGCUGUUU
This 104-nucleotide transfer RNA is filed under the name Nitrosospira briensis. RNAcentral's name for it is "tRNA_Glu_TTC". It matches the Rfam family "tRNA". From Rfam's summary of the family: Transfer RNA (tRNA) molecules are approximately 80 nucleotides in length. Their secondary structure includes four short double-helical elements and three loops (D, anti-codon, and T loops). Lineage: Bacteria; Pseudomonadati; Pseudomonadota; Betaproteobacteria; Nitrosomonadales; Nitrosomonadaceae. The record is from RNAcentral.